GGGCGCGGGACGUAAGGCGUCCAGGAAGGUGCUGAUGGCUCUCGGCUGGGUGAGGGUAGAGAAGGUUUCCAAGGCGCCCUCGGGCCUCGCGGGCUCAGGGCCCACGCAGUUCUCUCUGGUGGCACCGGGGGGCGAUGUGGAGCGUCCCACAGCGCUCCUGCGCCCCGGAGGCUCAUGGGCGUUGUAGUUCCCAGGGCGGCGAGCUGUGCUGGCACUUAGCGUGGGAAGGCGAGGCCAGGUCUGGAGGCACGGUCCCGUGCUCCUUGAGGCAGAAGAGGUUGUCCCGGCGUGGAUGACUCCGGAGCGUCCUGGCCCCGAACCCCGUGGAGUGCGACCCGCUGCGCGGGUUUGGCGACAGAUCUGGCGGCCGUGUGUCGCAGCUGGAGGUAGGACCAGGCCCUGCGGCCUGGCUGAGGAAGACCGUCCUGGGAAUCUUUCGGAGGUGGGGCUCUAGUGUGACCCAUCUCUCCGCUAAGCCUUUGUUUUCUUAUCUGUAAAAUGGGAAUAGUAGUAUCGACUUCAUAAGGAGAUGCUGACAUCUGGCUCUGAGAGGAAAUGAGCUGGGCAAGAGACAGAAAAGGGCUCCAGAAGCCUCCAGGUCCCACAGUCUUUGACCCUCAAAUACCCUCGCUCCUGGCUCACAGCCUGAGGCGACAAAGUUUGCCGUCCACCCUUGUGGACCCUCAGCAGCCCAGAGAGUAAUUCCCACGAUCGUCUUUCCACCCACCCAAUUUUAUAGAUGACCAGGUGAGAGACAAACUUCUAGUGCCUUUAAGGGCAGCCUGAGUCUUUCUUGUUCCCGCUGUGUCCCUGGCUUCUACCACAGGGCGGGGCACUCAGUGAGUACUCAAUAAAUGUCUGUUGACUGAAUGAAUGAGUGCAAGGAUGACCUUUAACUUUCACAUCCAUCAUCUCAUCACCCUGGGAUGAUAAUAGCAGCUGCUUAACCUUGAUUAAUGUUUCCGAAACUCAUCAGAGCGUAAGACUCAAUUGACGGUGUCUGUUUCAAAUAGAUUCCUUAAUUCCUCCCUUGGAGAUUAUGAUUCAGUAGUGUCUGGGCAUAGGCAAGGAAACUAUAUUUAUUUUUAACACACACAAACACCCUUGUUAAACUCAGAGGAGUUUGGGAAACUCAGAAUUAGAGACUUUUAUGGAACAGACGUUGUGGAAAUGCUUCAUAUUGGUUCACAUUCAAUGCUCCCAGUGUUAUCGUGUGUAAUAGGAGCCAUUAUUUACCUCAUUUUAGCAGUGAGAAAACUGAACAUAGGGUGAUCAAGGAGCCCAACACGGCUAACCUCCAAAAGAGUGUGCACUUAGCCACUGCACUGGACUAUAAUUUAACUGUCAUUUUACAAUGAGAAACUUGCUAAGAAUUCUGUCCUCCUGGCCCUCCAAACCCAUCAGCUCUGCUUACGAUGGGUUGGUACAGUAUAAAAGGGGUUCUCUUUGUCCCCAGCCUGUACCUCAGUCGCUCCUGGGAAUUUCCUGAGACACUGUUGUCUGCCACCAGGAUGUGAGAUUUUGGGGGUUGGUACUUGAACUGAUGCUUACUAUUUUAGUGGUGCUGUAUUUAUUUUAAUGUGUAUUAGUUUGACAGAAAGACUGGCAUUGUAAAUAUUGAGUGGAAAAAAUGAAUCAAUUUGAAAAACUAUACUUGGUAGAUAAAAUGGGUGGUAUGAAUAUAUGGGAAAUUUGGGGAGAGGUGAACAUGAAUGAUUGAAAUUUGCAAAACACAGUGCCCGGAAAAGAGUCCAAACGGAGAGAAUUUCUUGUAGAGCUAUUGAGUGUAGCAUCCUCUGUAAUAAUCAGGAGUCUUGAUUUACAGAUAACAGAAUUUACAGGGGCUGGUUUGAGAAGAAAGGGAUUUGUUUAAAAGUGGUAGGCAGCUUGGGACUUCCCUGGUGGUCCAGUGGUUAAGAAUCUGCCUUCCAGUGCAGGGGACGCAGGUUUGAUCCCUUGUGAGGGAACUAAUAUCAUACGUGCUACGGGGCAACUAAGCCCGCGUGCCACAACUACUGAGCCCACGCACCACAACUAGAGAGAAGCCUGUGUGCCGCAAUGAAGAGCCCACUUGCCACAACAAAAGAUCCCUCAUGCUGCAACUAAGGGCCGAUGCAGCCAAAUAAACAAAUCAAUAAAUAACAAAAAAAAGUGGUAGGCAGCUUAUAGACUUCUGGGGCAGGCUGCAGAAAUGGCUCCUAAGCCAUAGAACUGAUCUGAUAAGAAAACCGCUGCUACUGCCACUGCCACCAAACACUAAAUGCCAGAACUUAGACUUAUCUGUAACAGUGACUGCUUAUGGCACUGAAGACACUUUUGCAUCAAGAAAGUGACCUUCUCUCUGGGCUUCCCUGGUGGCGCAGUGGUUGAGAGUCCGCCUGCCGAUGCAGGGGACACGGGUUCGUGCCCCGGUCUGGGAAGAUCCCACUAUGCCGCGGAGCGUCUGGGCCCGUGAGCCAUGGCCGCUGAGCCUGCACGUCCGGAGCCUGUGCUCCGCAGCGGGAGAGGCCACGACAGUGAGAGGCCUGCGUACCGCA
Phocoena sinus (vaquita) is the source of this 2537-nucleotide long non-coding RNA. NCBI's taxonomy places the organism in Eukaryota, Metazoa, Chordata, Mammalia, Artiodactyla, Phocoenidae. The record is from Ensembl.